CAGAGUACUGGUUCAAAUAUUUCAACUCUACUUGCAAUUGGAUCACGUAUCUGUCUUGGAAUUUUUUUUUCUUGGAAAUUUAUUAUAGUUAUACUAUGAUUGAGUGUUUUUUCAAGUUAUUCUACUCUACUUAGAGAUAAAGAAGAGACGUAUGCUUAUUUGUCUUCUUGAUUCUCAUAAAGUAUAACUUUUUGUUAUUUUUUUGGUUUGUCACCUAUUUGAAUGAUUGCCAACUUAUUUGAAACUUGUUUUUAGAACCCCAUUAACUAAUUCCAUCUUGAUUUUCUUUAAUAUUCUGAAGAAUGGUUCCUGACUAGUUAGGAAAUUGUGCAAAUCAUUAAGUAAGAGUUGAAGGAAAAAAAAAAUAUAAAGGUGAAACAUCAUGAACAAUAUUGAAAAUAUUCAAUUGGAACUAGAGAAGAAAAUUUCAACUUGAUUACUUGUUGUAAAAGUUUUUUUCAAGGAGUAGGAAGGACAAUAUAAACAAAUAUCAUAGCUUUGAAGUUGUUGUGACUUUUUCUUGUUAUUGCUUACAAUUUUCAUUGAAAUUUUCAUUGUAAUUUUUGUAUUUUUAAAAAAUUGUUUUUUUUAAAAAAUAUAUGCAAUAAUAGGUUUGAUUCAUUUCAAAAAAAAUGUAGAGACCAAUAAUUGUAAGGUCAAUAAUGGUAGAAUUUAUUUUAAAUAAUUAUAAGGAAAUUAUCAAAGUUAUACUAUUUUCUUGUGCCUCUAUAAUAAAAAAAUUUAAAUUUUUAGUUCAUGUUAGAAACGAUAGAGUAGAUAAAAACUUUCCUUUCUUGCUAUCCUAUAUGACAAUCAGGAUAAUUAGGUGGCAACAAUAACAUCUUUAUGGGAUUAAAAUUGGAAAGUGAAUCAAAUUGGGAAUAUUUUUUUAGAAAAGUGUUAUUUUGGCAAAAAAUUCAAUUUUAGAUAGUGAACUACGUCUGCUGCUAAUGUAGUUGCUUGUCGAGCAUUUGACAAAGUGACACCAUCCAUUUCAAAUAGAAUUUGUCCUGUGAACACACGAGCAACUCAACCCAUAUGAUUUCCUUUUCCUCUUCCCAUUCUUACUUAGUACUCCCGUAGGUUUCUCAAUAAUAGGGAGAUCUGCGAGAACUCUUACGCAUGUCUUACCAUUUCUUUAGAAUAGUCUGCUCAUAGCAGUACGGAAGUGUCCAAUUAUAGCACGCGCUGCUUCAAUGGCUCGAUAUGAAAGAAGACCUUUUUUUUUUAAUCAAAGGAUGAUCUGACACCUCCUUUAAUUUUUUUUUUUUUCACUAUAGAUAGAAUUCGAACCCCAUUUUUUUUUUUCACUAUAGAUAGAAUUCGAACCUCGAACCUACAGUUCAAAGAAAAAGCUCAGUGGCUGAUAUGAAAGACAACCUAGCUCUACAACUUUUAGUGCCAUAUCUUCCAAAAUCAAGUUAUGGACGGAGCUUAUGGUCUUGUUGCUUAGGAAGGGCCGAGCUAUCCAUAAACAUAUAAAUGCACGCACACACUUAUUUUUCCUCCUUCAACACUUACCUUAUUUAAUAAGCCAAAAACCUCUUUUGUAGAUAGAGCCAUCUAAGUAAUGCUUAAUAGACACCCGUUAAGAUGUAAUUAAGGUGCUAAAUUUUUUACAAAGUAAAAUUAAUUAAGAAAAGUAUAUAAAUACAAGGUAGAACAACAAUUGUAGGUUGAGUAUGAAUUAAGUGCAUUAAUGAGAGCUCGCUAGGCACCUGUUCAAAAAAAACCCUUGUGAAGAUUGCAAGACAAGCCCCAUAAAAUCAUAUAUAAGAUGGAGAGCAUGUUCAGCACAAAAUGUCAUGUCAGACUAAGCUGUACUAAUACAGCAUUAAAAAGAACCCAAAAGAAAUUACCUGCAAACAUUAAUCACUAAUAUUUACAAAAACCAAUUCAGUUGCGCUACAUUUUCCAUGACCUAAAGGUUAGCGCGUAUCAACAACAGGUAGUGGGAUCAUAUUACAGAAACUUUAGCCAUCAUUUUACUAGAAGGCUCAGCAUAAGACACUGCAACUUUUUUAACAAUCACACCUCAACAUUGGCUUUGUUCCCAGCUAAAAUAAGAGAGAUCUCCAAUCCACGACUGAAUGCUUGGUUAAAGAGGAGACGAGAUUGGAAAGUGGAGAUGAAUGGGAACCAAGAUAACAUUGCAAUUGGGGCGAAAAUAAUCAUACCCAUCCCGGCAUCAUACAUUCGAGCAAACUCCUUGACUGAUUCCCAGAGUCCUAAACUCCUCACUACUCUCUUCCACGUGAUAGCAAGCUGUGUCAACACAACAAAUACAAUUUAUGAACUCGAGAUAUAAUCAUAUACAAAAGAACGUGACGAAUCUGGCAUUCCUGACAUCCCCUGGAAAGUGCAAACAAAUCUAAAGCACCUAAACUAAUGAACUGAUUUAUGGCGGUAUACCACCACAUAAUAAAGUCAUAAUUGUUCGAUUUACCUAAAGAAGUAUUAAUAAUUGCACUCAUAGGAGGAAAAAAUUAGCAUGUUUCAACUCAAUUUACUUACACAUAUGAUGAGCCAUCCAGUAGCAAUAAAUGCAAGGAUGCUAGCAAACAAGUCUGGAACAGAGAGUUUAGUGAACACCACGACAAGGACUAGGGCUGCAAUAAGCGCCAAGGCUGUAACUCCCUGAGUGAAUCGGAGCAUCAGCUGGAAGUUUGUGGAUUUUUUAGGGGUAAAAGUAAAUAUCUGCAAAAGGAAAAGACAAUGAAUUAUUGGUACCUAAGACAGCAGAAAAAGAACAACUAGUAUGCUGUAUACCACACAAUAGAGAAAACUUCGAGGCAUAAAAGAAAAUUUUCAUCAAGGCACAAACCUUGAAGAUCAAGACUAUUCCAACAAGUACGACCCAAGAGAAGCCAUAGAUCUGAAGAAUGAGAGGAGAUGUUAAGAUCAAUGAAAAGGAGAAAAAAGAAAAGAGAAGGAAAAAAAAAAAUCAACUAUUGAUGCAACUGGAAUUAAUUAUGCAAACCUCACAAGCAUAUCACCUAAGACAUCAUAUUUACGAAGAUGUGGAAAGUGCUAAACAUUGGAUAUCAGACAAAGAAAGGCACCAUAGGGGAAAACUUUCGCUUGUUCAGGUCCUUCUUAAAGAGAUACGUGAUAACAUCAUUUCCAACUAAGCAUCAGAAAAAAAUAAGUAUCCAAUCUUGCAGGUUUGCUGUUCACAAUAGCCAAGUCCUCAAUCUACUAUUAGCAGUAAGGGAACAAACCAAAUUUUCCCUUCUCAGUAUCAGAAUAUGGGACUGCUAGAAACCAGUUCUUCGCUUUUAGGUUGAGAUAAUUGUGCGGCAUAAGAACUAAAAUGUCUCACAUCAUAAUGAAAGGUUAUAUUCUGAUUUCAGAAACUGGGUUUCCACUCUGGAUGAGCUGGCAUAAGAACCAACUAAGUGGAAGCAGUCAGGGCCAAUGAUUAGAAAUGGUAAGACAAUUUAUCACCAAUUCCCAAAAUUUAACAAAGUUCACAGAAUAAGUAAUAUAUUAUCAUUAAUUAAGCUAUCAAACUAAAAAAUCUAACUUAGUAUAAUAGAAACAUUUGCCAAGAAAGCUUAGAAAAGUAUUACCGCAAGUGAAGUGUGCUUCCCAGUUAGAUUAAGUUUGUAUACAAUGCCAUACUGAAACAUGAGAAACCUCGAGCUCAACAUGGUCUCAAGUAUACGACCUCUCCAAGUCUGGAUAUGCAUCUGUGGCAAAAAAAGACACAGAAAAACUUUGAAUGAGAAGAGAGAAAACGAAGGGUAAACAUAAUGAUGUUCUCCUCCUAGUCCUAGACACUUCUCCACUCCAAAUAGUAAAAAAGAAGGGAGCCUAGAGCAUAAGCUCAAAGAAAGGCCUUGCAUGUGAAAAAAUAGUAAUGAGCAUAUUAAGUCAAAUCAAUGUGAUUGCAAAGUAACAAAUAAACCUGUUUUAUGGAAGAGGGCACCCCGGGCGAGGAGGGGAGGGAUGGAGGGAGGGGUAUAGGGUCGAAGCAGAACUCCAACAGAAAAUAUAAAGACAGGCUUGUUAAGCAAAACAUAGCUCAUGUGCAACUUUAUGUGGAUUGAAAAUGGUACAAUUUGCGUUGCUACUAAACAUAGAAAAACAUUCGCGUGGGGGAGGGGGGUGGGGGUGGUGUUGGAGGGGGCUGGGGGAAAAAUCUCAUACGAAACCUGUUCUUCAUCCCACCAAGACUCCCAGCUAUUGUCACCCUUAACACCAACUCCGCCUUUAUACAUAAGCCAGCUUGUCCAAUCAUCAAAAUCCUCUACAGUCCUGCACAGAACAUGCAAAGUCUGUAAAAAUUACCAAGAAAAAGAUGAGCACCUUAAUUGCUCACAGAUUAAAAGGAUUAAGAGAAACUUCACUAAGAAAAUUAUUAUUUAUUCAUUUCAGCAGUGGUUAACACCUUUGAAGAUGCAUUACAAUGCCUUCUAUUCUUGUUAUGAUCUUAAUUCAGAUUGAUUCAGGUCUGUUGGAUUAAGCUCACUUUAUUUUAAUAUUGUCAAGGUACUUAGUAAUACUCCUGGAAUUCCAUGACUUUUACAGAAAGUAAUUAAUCUGCUCAUCCAAUAGAUGGGUCCUUGUAGGAAUUAAUGUCUUAGCUGGAGCAAGGUUCAGUUUUAGGAGUUUAGAUUUGUAAGAUCUCUCUUUCAAUUAUUUGAAAUAUAAUUCUUUGCAAUGAAGUAUACUCUUCUGGAUAUCCAUCUCAUAUUGGAUGCCAAAGUCAGGCUGCAGGUCAGUCAGCCAGUGAGGCUAGUUCCCUAUCUAGCCUUCUCCUAUUCUAAGCGAUCCAGUUACCAGUUUGAUUCCAUAUUACUGCCAAAAUCGUCCAUUGUUUUGGCCUUGAAACCUCUCUGAAGCUUAGUCGUAAAACCUUAGAGAAUGUCUUAGUUAUUCAUUCUGAAACCCAUUUUAGGUCCAUUUCAGGGGACACCGAUUAAGGUUGUCUAAAGCUCGUGCAUCAGAUUAAUUAUCAGAUUACCUAACAUUCCAUUGCAGAAAAAGAAUAAAAGAAAACACCUAUUAAAAAAUCCAUUCAAGCUAAACAAUACUAUAAAGGAAAUCUUACUUUUGCCAUUCAAAUCCUGAUGGGUUGAAGAUAUAAGGAGCAAAGAGCCAAGAGAUUACGAGGAACCAACUGCUUAGAGUAAUAAGAACAAAUGAAACACCACCUCCGUCUAUAUACCCAUAGGCAAUGUAAACAAUAAGAAGCAAUGCUAUUUCCAGCCUGCAGACAUGUUUAUAAACAACAAAAUAAGUAACUCAGUUUAAUAGACCGAAGAAAUAUACAUUUGAAAGGGCAGUCUGAUUAAAUAAAUGUAACUCACGCCUUAACAAAAUGGCUUCUUGAAUAAAGCCGAUAAUUCUCAGCAAACUUGAUGUGUCGGACAACAAAGCCUCUUCCAGUAGCUCGAUACUGUUGAGUUUAUUGAAAGAUACAUGAUCAACCAUAUCCAUACCAUAAACGUAAUUAUCAACUAUAUCCUAUAUACCUCUCUGCACCUCCAUGAAGGAUAGUAGAACAUUGAAAGAAAAACAAUCAACUAUAUCAAUGCCAUAAAACAAAAUUAUCAGAUAUGUCCUAUAUACCUUUGCACCUCCAUGAAGGAUAGUACGCCCAAAAUAAUGAGUUCUAGUUCCUAAAGAAAACGUGAAGAAGACAGAACAAAGCUGAAGCUGCAUGGUAAUGAAAUCGAAUAUAGCCUGAAAAAGUAUAACAUAGAACAUAUGUUAGUGUAGCUUCAAGUUGUAAAACAAGGAUGAUACAUUAGACAUGCUAUGUGAGAUAAAGUAAAUUAGGGAUCAGAACACUUGAAAAAUGAGAAUAUGCUGGAUAUAAGAAGAAAGCAAUUAGAAAAAUAUGAGGCAGAAAUCUGUUAAGGGAGGAGAAAAUAGAUGAUGGGAAAACCUUCAACAAGCCCCGCUCUAGUAUGAAGCCCACUACCAUAGGAACAGCAGUGAAAACCCCAAUUUGGACCAAGAAUUGAGCAUUUAGAGCAGCAUCUAAAGCAGUGUUACCAAGCAGUUUAGCUUCUCUUGAAAUUCCUCGAUCUACUCCAGAGAAAGCCUGAAUAAUUUCAGAGAAAAGAUGCUGAUCAAAUUGUUGCAUAUAUUAAACACCAGUAGCUAAACUGACCAACAGAUGAUCCCAACUGAACCAAUAGACAUGUAAACUUGAAAAAAACCAAUGCAUUAAAGAAACUAAUCCCCAAGUAUCUUGAUGCACGUGAAUUCUUCUACUUGCUUUAUUGCGAAACACAAGAGCUAAAUUGCUGAGCAGACAAAGAAAGUGUAACUUCAGUUCUGACAUCCAAUAAUUUCCAUCUCUUAGUAAGGCUGAAUCACACCUAAUAUGGGCUUGUAAUCUUUGGAUGCAUGUUGGUAAAGAACCCACUCAGCUACCAAGACGACCAAGUAAAUGGAGCUAGCAACCCCUUCUAGAUCUUUAUUACUAAAAACACAAGCAUUAAUCUUAUGGACAAAGAGACAUACAGACAGACAGACUCAGACACACACAAAAGAAAUGUAUCAUGGUACUUAACAUAGUACAGCUAUUUCCACAGAAGUCAUCGUAGUUCCCUCAUAUAAGAUUACAAUCUCACAAGUUACUGAAAACAGAUGCACUUGCUCUAAAUUCUAAAAAUUUAACUCUAGAAAGACAGAGUCAGUCUCCAUCUGUUGAACUAUCAGAUUAAUAAUAGCAUGAAGUAGUAGUAAAACUUACCAGAUAUGCUCUUCCAUAGAGAAAUAUAUAAAUUGUAAGAACAGUCAUCUGCAAUAGAAGAAAAGAGUUAUGAGGCAAUGCAUAUUUUCUGCACUAUGCACUAAAUUUAGACACAAGGUGCUGCAAAAGUUGCAUAUGGAAAAAAAUACCAUAGUGCAAACAUAAAAACCAACUGUCGUGAAGUAGAAAGACAGCAUUCUAAAGAAAUCGAGUAAUUGUCCCAGCCUAUACACAUCCCUGCUCAGAACUUGCUCUCCAUUUCCACCAGCCACCUUGCCUUCAAAUAAGGCAAUUUGGUUUAAACCAACAUCUCUUCCCUUUCCAACCUACACAAUUACCAAGUAAUAAGAUCACAAGGAAAGAGCAACACUGGCAAUUAAAAUGCGUACCUUCAAUGAGUAAAUAAAAGAUCAACUGUCGCACCUGAAUAUACUCAUGGUGAGUAAUAUUUCCCUGCCUAAGUGUGGAAUUAAACCCUAUAUAUGUGGAAAAAAUCUGUUUAGAGAGGCAUGCAAUACACAGGUAAAAGCACGGCAAGAAAAUGCUAAAAGGCUAAAUUCUGAUGCAGAAAAAAAUGCACUGCUGAAGAUCAAUAAAAAAAUUUGCACAAGAACUAGCAAGCAGUUGACAAGUUUACUGUGUAAGAUUCUUAAUCAUAUCCCUUUUAUGGUAAAAAAAUGUAACUCAUUAGCAAUCGGUAAUAAAUGAUUAAACAAAUAAAAUAAAUGGGACUAGAAAUACAAUAAUCUUCCAGAUUAUGCAACAUUACAGCGUGGGCACAUAUUGUUGAGCUUAACAAUAGAUUAUCAAAUUACAUUUUUUGCCAGCAGUAUGAAUCCCCACAAGCAGCAGAUAAGGUUUAGCAGGUUAAUAUGAUAUUUGAGCCGUCAACAAAAACUUUUAAUAGCCUUCUCCAAACCACCUUUUCGAAACACAGUUCCAGUAGAUUAAAUAGACCCAACAGCAGCUAAGCAAGUUCAUAAUUUUCGAAUGCACACACCUUUUGACUUUUUACAUUAAAAAAAACUCAAAGUUUUGUUUGAAUAAAUCGGUGCUACUCUUCUCUGCAGGCACAAGUCACUUGCUAGGUCAAGAUUUCGAACUCAAAACAAUUGUCUGCUUGUCAAAAAAAAUAAUUUUUUAAUUUAUAAAAGACUUAUUCACAGUAGAGCACUAAAGAAGCAAUUGGCACCACAAGAUAUUCACCACCAUCUUCACUUACCUGCAUAUAUAUCUUCACUGAUGUUAAUUAUGCGCGAUGCCUUACUAAUGCCACCUCGAGUAAUAUGAAAAAUUCGAUCAAAGACGUCUGGAUGACCAUAGUGCAUACGCACUCUGCAAGGUUUUGUUCAGAGUGUUUUGAUAAUUAUAUUCACAUUCUAACUUCAGAAAUUAAAAAAAAAAGAAGAAAUGAACCAGAAAAAAUGCAAUUUAAUAUUGUACUGUGGACUUAUGAUGCAUUACUAAGCAAAUGUAACUGAUAAAUAAUAAAAGUUUCCAACAAUAUAAUAUGCAUAAAGAAGACACCAUACAUCUCAAAACUGGCAAGCACAACAGAGAAAAUAAACUAACUCCAAGUUUAUUUUAUCACCGUUUUAUAAACAAUGUCACCAAAAAGAUAGAAGGGCGAAGAGCUCUUUCCAAAAGAAAAUGAUCCAUCUUCUUGCAGUAGAAAACUUGAUAGAAAAUCUAGGCUUUUUUUUCUAAAAGGUAUACGGCUAGCUGAUUCAACAGGGAAAGGGAAAAUAUAGUUCAAGAAGAAUCCAAUAAAGCAUUUAGUAUUUUUGUAUCCAGGUUAUUUAUCAUCUUUGACCAUUUAGACAUAUUCACAUACACCACGAAUGAAUACAGAUGGAGGAAAAGGAGGAAAAUCUUAAUCACUGACAAAAAAUGGUAAUGUUUUCUGGUGUUGGAAUCUACUGUAAAAAGCAUAUAUACAAGGGAUUGUCCUAGUAAGAGAGACAAAGAUGAUUCAGACACCCAUACUUAAGAUAUAAAUAAGUAAUACACAACACUAACUUUCAAAAAAUCAAAGCCUUGUGAGGUUAUCUUAUUCUUCCCUUGCUAUUAUUCUUCCCACACUUCAGAGGAAUUUUGUCAUAUUCUGAAUUUUGUCAUAUUUUCAAUCUGACAAUGCAAUCCUCCAAUCCAAAAUACCACUUCAGAACUUAUGAUCUCAAUACAGGAAAUAAAAGACAAGGGAAACAAACAAGCAAGCAUAUGCUUGAAGUAACCAUCAUCAACACUGAUGUUUUAUCUUCAAGUCAACCCUAACAUUUGAACUUAUAACCCAAUAUUUUUUUUUCUGAUAACUGGUCAAGUAAUAGCUAAAGCAUUAAAUGGAUCCUACAAACCCAAGGAAAAGGAAUCUUCAAGUAAAGCAGAGCAAUGCCAAAAAAAAAAAGAAAAGGGAACUCAGGAUCUUAUAAGGUAUGAGUGGUGAUCAGCAAAAACCCAAGGAAAAGGAAAAGGAAUCUUCAAGUAAAGCAGAACGUUGUCAAAAAAAAAAAAAAAAAACACGGAACUCAGAUGCAGAAUUGCUGUGAAAGUUUAAAAACAAUGGGUACUUCAAGGAUUUCAACAAAAUUAGGCAGGUAGCCAGCAGUCUCUGCUAGGAAUCUACAACUGAAGGCUAACAAGAGCAGCAUCAAAUUGAUACCAAUGCUGUUGUUUGACUGGACCUCUGUGAGAUAUUCAGAAAGGUGCAGAGGCAAAAUUGCGCUUUUGAUCAAGCACAACAAAACGGCUCUCCAUGCAAAUAUACUUGCUUCUUGUUAAAAAAAUCAAUUCAUUCUGAACUACUUACUUCAGAGGUUUUGCCAAAACGCGUUGGCCCAAGGUCACAAAACUAGUCUCUUGAUUGGACAUGAACAAAGCCAAAGAAGAAACACUGCACACGUGAAACCAACAUACAGCAUAAGGUAUUUAAAUACAAAAUAAAGUGAAGUAUCUUGUAUCAGAAAUCAGGAUGACAAACCUUCCUGUAAAGACAUGCUCCCGUACACCAAGUAUAGUUGGAGGCCGGAGGCCAUGAUUUCCUCGAAAUUCCUCAAGAAGAUUUCUCAUUUUGAUUGCUUCCUCAAGGUAGUUAUCCUGCACAACAAAGAUAUUGAAUAAACAGAAAAAAGCAUAAAAUAGAAAUAAGUUUAUUAGAGGCAUUAAAAGCAAAACUAGAUCAUAAUGGAAACAUGUAAUCAACCCAGACACAAGAAGAGGGGGCCGGGGGGCAGCAGAAAGUACCUGUCAUGCUUAAAAUCAUUAAAUCAUCAGGAUUUGAAUAUGUAUCAAUGGAAAACAAAUUCAGCACCUUCUGUAGAAACUAGACAACCAACUUCAACUUCAAAAACAUUAAAACAACUUUCUUCAACACAUCACAUUUCAGGUUCCAUUUGGAUCAACAGAUUUUAAGGAAUUUACAUGAAUGGAUUUGAAAUUAGUAGAUUUGAAAAUCCACAGUAAUUCAAGUUAUUUUGUUUGGCUAAAAAUUAUCUUAGGAUAGAGGGAUUUAUAAUUUACAAAACUUAUUGGGGUAAAAUUGAAACCUCAAAACUUCAGGGGUUAAUUAUUGAAAAAUUCCAUUUUUUACUUUCUCAUCUCACGUUUGAACUUUAUGCCCUAAUGUUUGAGCAGCUGCGCGGCAUCUUUUCGGCAGCUUUCCAGGCAAUGAGCACCCGCAAUGGUGGCCGUCAUCACAUAAGAACUUGCAUGAAUGUGCAGAUCCCAAAACUACCAUCAAUAACUGUUCACUGCUUUUAGUUCUAUUUUUCAGUAGGCAACGGCAGCAAAGUAUGAGAAGGUGUUGAAUAAAACACUUGCUUUCACUGUCCAAUAACAAGCUGGGAGUUCAGCUUUGCUUCCAAUUUCCAAAUACAUGACAAUCAUUGGAUUGGGGAUCAACACUGAUACGACCGGUCAUAGAUCAAGCACCAAGAAAAGAAAAUUAUAUUAUGUAAGAUGUUUCUUUCAUACUACUAUCCAAGUUGAGUUAAGAAAAUUCCAAAGGGCCAUUUUUGUCAAUAAGGAAUGAGCUAACAAUAACCUUGGAACUCUUACAAAUUCACAAUUUAUUCAUCCAGUGAUGGUGUUCCUUUUGCACUACUAUCUAGAUUGACUUGAGAAAAUUCCAAAGCCAGUCUUUCUAAUAAGGAAUAUGGCUUAUCAAUAACCUUGGCACUUCUACAAAUUAACGACCUAUUGAUCCAGUGACGGUGUACUAUUAAACACUUGAGAAGCUGCUGAGAUAAGUCAAUAUGGUCCAUAUCAAAACACCACCCAUCUAAGCUGGUUUAGAACGAUAGUUGACUGAUCAAAGAAAUGAAAUGAAAUGUGACAGAAACGCUGCAAGUUGAAUGAUUAUGGACAAUCGGGCUAACAUAGUAUCGAGAUAUGCUGUGACUGUCCAAUAUAGUUUAAAGAUAGGCCAUAGAUUAAUAAAUUGGAACCAGUAACCGCUACAUAAGGUUUAUAGUAAAGAGAAUGAACACUAAAUGACCUGAUUCAUGUCAAUUGUUUGAAUAGCAUCCCCUCGGGUGAAAAUUAUGGCAUGGUUCUGGUUCUCUGGCUUUCCUUCCCCAAGUUUUGGAUCUCCAGGGAGUUUAAUGGAGUAUAUUUCCUACACACAAAAGAUCAAUCGCAAAAACUGGUGAAAACAGGACAACAGACUAAUAAAGCGCAAAGGUAAUUGUUAGCAAGCUCAACAAAAUUUUAAUUUCAGAAACAGGGAAAAAUGAAAAAAGAAAACUGAACACAGCAAAAGGACAGCUGGCACACAAAUGUCUACAGAGGCAAGCAGAUACAAAUUACAGCAACGGAAGUUUCCUUUAGUUCUCACAAAUUUUACUGAUUUCAAAAAUGAAAAAGAAAACAAAAAUAUGGAUAAGCCAACUUAGGGUUCUUUGUUCACUCCAAGAUAGUUUAAAUUUGGUACAUAUAAAAAAUACAUUCAGAAGUAUUAUGUACAAAUCCAUAAUAGUCAUUUUAUAUGGUAACAAAUAAUACCAAUGAUUAAUUCUCAAGUUUCCCCAACUUAUCCAGCAACAAGAUUUCUUCAUACAUUAACAAGAAUUUCAACACAGAAAGCAAAAGACUAAAAAGGACUAUCAAAAAUUGCUUUUAAGCCAUUUUAAUACAUCCUUGUAAUACAGAUGACAAAUUUAAUGUGAACCACAUUUAAAAGCAUCUCAAUAUAUCAUGCUAAAGCAUAAUGCAAAUCUCCAAAGACUGAACAUUGUGCUUCAAAUAACAAGACAUAGGCUUGUUGUACUACUUCGAACUCCAGCAAUAAAAUAUCCCCAGAUCAACAUCAAAAAAAAUUUCAAUGCAUCUAUAUUCUAUGAAUACUAAUAAUCAAUCUAAUAAAGGGGAUUUCUGAUGAUGAUUAAAUAAUUACUCAAACUAAGAGUUCUUAUCAACUAUUGUAGAACAGAGGCAUACAAGUAUCUAUAGCCACUGGAUCAUUAAUUUUCAAAAGAAAACGAUAUAUUGAAGAUGUCUGCUAAAAUUGAGUUUGAUAUCAUAUUUAUUGCUAAUCCAUAUGGAAUUGCUAGAGCAUGAUUCACUCUUCAUUUCGCAUCCCCCUCCCCCAAAAUAACCUUUUUCUGAAAGAAAUUGUCACCAGCUUCUAUACAGAAUGUAGAGCAUAAAACUAAAAUCCAUCAUGAGCGGGUGAUGAUAUACAUCUGAAUAUUUUCAUCCAUCUAACCUAUCUUUUAUAAACCCAAGCAGCAAAAUUUUUUGUAAAUGACAUUAAAGUUAGUCUAAUCAACUUCCUCGACUUACGACAAGGGGUUGAUACAAACAAGUGCUUCCUCUCAAUUUCCUGUCAUCUACUAAGUAACUUGCCCUUGAAAGGGAAACAAGCAAGUGCAGGAUGCAUUAAGCACAAAAUCCUCUACCUGAUCCUUCCCAUGAGCAUCAGCUUUUACAAGCUUAGAAUAGAAUUCCUUGGUCACCUUUCCACCGGCUGCACCAAUCUCUUCUGUAUGUAUGAAAGCAACACGAAGAGCCUCAUUCCUAAGCAAGAAAUUGCAGAAGCUUCUCAGCAACAAGAAGCAGAUACGUUCAUUCAAUUAUAAAACUACAACCAGAGACAGAGGAGCAAAGCAAGCUAAUGGAGUGUUCUAUAAACAUCAAUUAAAGAUCAUUCCGCAGUGAGGACUUCCUACCCUUAUAGGAAGAUAUACAAAUGGAUCACUUAAGUGACUAUCUAUCUUACAUUUGUAAUAUAAACAAAUAAAUCAUUAAUAAAAUAUCCACCUUUUUUCUAGCUCUUGGUACCUACUCCACUCAUCCCAUUAUCACUUCAAUAUUUUUAUCUUUUGCAUUUAAAGUUAAAAUUUUCAGGAGUGACAAAUUUAGAGAUAUGCAAUCAUUUACAGCAAAGAGAAACAUGCAGACAUAGCAAAUGCAAUCGUCUUCUGACUUUGUCCAUCUACUGCUUUUGGAUCUUAAUUUUUACAGCUUCAAUGAAAUUACAUAAAUUGCCACUUCACAAAAACAAAACUGCCACUUCACAAACAAAAAGUUAAAUUAAGAAUAUGUCAAAAGGAGACAUAAAAUUUUGGAAAUGAUAAAGUAUGUAAUCAUGAAAGCAUCUCUAUUCUUCAUCCUCAUUCCUUCACCAUACUUUGUCACAUUAAGACCUAUAAAUUAC
Molecule: long non-coding RNA, 13364 nt
Filed under: Coffea arabica (coffee)
Lineage: Eukaryota; Viridiplantae; Streptophyta; Magnoliopsida; Gentianales; Rubiaceae
Description: long non-coding RNA (CARA_LNC002787)
Source: RNAcentral